This 402-nucleotide ribosomal RNA is filed under the name uncultured bacterium. RNAcentral describes it as "bacterial SSU rRNA". It matches the Rfam family "Bacterial small subunit ribosomal RNA", at positions 355 to 774 of the family's 1533-position model. The record is from RNAcentral.
UGGGGAAUCUUGCACAAUGGGGGCAACCCUGAUGCAGCGACGCCGCGUGAGCGAUGAAGCCCUCCGGGGCGUAAAGCUCUUUCGACCGGAACGAUAAUGACGGUACCGGGAGAAGAAGCUGCGGCUAACUACGUGCCAGCAGCCGCGGUAAUACGUAGGCAGCAAGCGUUGUUCGGAGUUACUGGGCGUAAAGAGUGCGUAGGCGGUUUUCUAAGCUCGGUGUGAAAUCUCCCGGCUUAACUGGGAGGGUGCGCCGAAGACUGGGAAGCUGGAGUGUGGGAAAGGCAGGCGGAAUUCCUGGUGUAGCGGUGAAAUGCGUAGAUAUCAGGAGGAACACCGGCGGUGUAGACGGCUUGCUAGACCAUAACUGACGCUGAGGCACGAAAGCGUGGGUAGCAAACA